UAAUCAGAUGGGCAUACCCACAAUCCAGGU
This 30-nucleotide non-coding RNA is filed under the name Rattus norvegicus (Norway rat). Lineage: Eukaryota; Metazoa; Chordata; Mammalia; Rodentia; Muridae. The record is from RNAcentral.